Potamilus streckersoni is the source of this 87-nucleotide non-coding RNA. The record is from the annotation of a GenBank genome assembly. NCBI's taxonomy places the organism in Eukaryota, Metazoa, Mollusca, Bivalvia, Unionida, Unionidae.
GGUGUAACCGCUCCAUUAGCCUAGUGGUUAGAGCAUCCGCCUCGGAUGUGGGAAGUCGUGGGUUCGAACCCUGCUCGAGUUACACCA